AGCGAACGCUGGCGGCAGGCCUAACACAUGCAAGUCGAACGAACUCUUCGGAGUUAGUGGCGGACGGGUGAGUAACACGUGGGAACGUGCCUUUUGGUUCGGAAUAACUCAGGGAAACUUGUGCUAAUACCGAAUGUGCCCUUCGGGGGAAAGAUUUAUCGCCAUUAGAGCGGCCCGCGUCUGAUUAGCUAGUUGGUGAGGUAACGGCUCACCAAGGCGACGAUCAGUAGCUGGUCUGAGAGGAUGACCAGCCACACUGGGACUGAGACCCGGCCCAGACUCCUACGGGAGGCAGGAGUGGGGGAUCGUGCGAAAUGGGCGAAAGCCUGACGCAGCCAUGCCGCGUGAAUGAUGAAGGUCUUAGGAUUGUAAAAUUCUUUCAACGGGGACGAUAAUGACGGUACCCGGAGAAGAAGCCCCGGCUAACUUCGUG
This 433-nucleotide ribosomal RNA is filed under the name uncultured bacterium. RNAcentral's name for it is "partial 16S ribosomal RNA". It matches the Rfam family "Bacterial small subunit ribosomal RNA", at positions 29 to 507 of the family's 1533-position model. The record is from RNAcentral.